Molecule: ribosomal RNA, 296 nt
Filed under: uncultured bacterium
Lineage: Bacteria
Description: partial 16S ribosomal RNA
Rfam family: Bacterial small subunit ribosomal RNA
Source: RNAcentral
UGGGGAAUAUUGCACAAUGGGCGAAAGCCUGAUGCAGCAACGCCGCGUGAGUGAUGAAGGUCUUCGGAUUGUAAAGCUCUGUCUUUUGGGACGAUAAUGACGGUACCAAAGGAGGAAGCCACGGCUAACUACGUGCCAGCAGCCGCGGUAAUACGUAGGUGGCGAGCGUUGUCCGGAUUUACUGGGCGUAAAGGGUGCGUAGGCGGAUGUUUAAGUGAGAUGUGAAAUACCCGGGCUUAACUUGGGUGCUGCAUUUCAAACUGGAUAUCUAGAGUGCAGGAGAGGAGAGUGGAAUU